GAUGAACGCUGACAGCAUGCUUAACACAUGCGAGUCUUUGGCGAAGCUGUGCUUGCACAGCCUAGCCAAGGCGGACGGGUGAGUAACGCGUAAGGAACUUGCCCUGCAGUCAGGGAUAACAGACGGAAACGACUGAUAAGACCUGGUAAAGUCAGGCGGACUCAUGUCCAGCCUGAUGAAAAGAGAUGCUGCAGGAGAGCCUUGCGUCCUAUUAGCUUGUUGGUGGGGUAACGGCCCACCAAGGCGAUGAUAGGUAGCCGGCCUGAGAGGGUGGACGGCCACAAGGGGACUGAGAUACGGCCCUUACUCCUACGGGAGGCAGCAGUGGGGAAUAUUGGACAAUGGGGGCAACCCUGAUCCAGCAAUUCUGUGUGCACGAUGAAGGUUUUCGGAUUGUAAAGUGCUUUCAGCAGGGAAGAAAAAAAUGACGGUACCUGCAGAAGAAGCGACGGCUAAAUACGUG
This 463-nucleotide ribosomal RNA is filed under the name uncultured bacterium. RNAcentral's name for it is "partial 16S ribosomal RNA". It matches the Rfam family "Bacterial small subunit ribosomal RNA", at positions 28 to 507 of the family's 1533-position model. The record is from RNAcentral.